GCUGUGCCUUUCAUCUCAGCUACUCAGGAGGCUGAGGCUGGAGGAUUGCUCGAGUCCAGGAAUUCUGGGUUACAGUGUGCUGUGCUGAGUAGAUAUCUGCACUAAGUUCAGCAUCAGUAUGGUGACCUCCUGGGAACAGGAGGCUAAGGAGGGGUGAACUGGCCCAGGUCAGAAACAGAGCAGGUCAAAACUCCUCUGCUCAUCAGUAAUGGGAUUGCAUCUGUGAACAGCCACAGCACUCCAGCCUGGGCCACAUAGUGAGACCCUGCCUCU
This 273-nucleotide signal recognition particle RNA is filed under the name Aotus nancymaae (Ma's night monkey). Its description in RNAcentral is "Metazoan signal recognition particle RNA (ENSANAG00000015325.1)". It matches the Rfam family "Metazoan signal recognition particle RNA". From Rfam's summary of the family: The signal recognition particle (SRP) is a universally conserved ribonucleoprotein. It is involved in the co-translational targeting of proteins to membranes. The eukaryotic SRP consists of a 300-nucleotide 7S RNA and six proteins: SRPs 72, 68, 54, 19, 14, and 9. The record is from RNAcentral. Lineage: Eukaryota; Metazoa; Chordata; Mammalia; Primates; Aotidae.